CUACGGGAGGCUGCAGUGAGGAAUAUUGCACAAUGGGGUUAACCCUUAUGCUGCAACUCCGCGUGGAGGAUGACGCAUUUCGGUGUGUAAACUCCUUUUAUAUGUCAAGAAAAUGACGGUAGCAUAUGAAUAAGCACCGGCUAACUCCGUGCCAGCAGCCGCGGUAAUACGGAGGGUGCAAGCGUUACUCGGAAUCACUGGGCGUAAAGGACGCGUAGGCGGGUUGGAAAGUCAGGUGUGAAAUCCUACAGCUUAACUGUAGAACUGCACUUGAAACUUCUAAUCUAGAGUAUGGGAGGGGGAGAUGGAAUUAGUGGUGUAGGGGUAAAAUCCGUAGAUAUCACUAGGAAUACCUAAAGCGAAGGCGAUCUCCUGGAACAUUACUGACGCUAAGGCGUGAAAGCGUGGGGAGCAAACAGGAUUAGAUACCCCCGUAGUC
This 439-nucleotide ribosomal RNA is filed under the name uncultured bacterium. RNAcentral describes it as "partial 16S ribosomal RNA". It matches the Rfam family "Bacterial small subunit ribosomal RNA", at positions 339 to 795 of the family's 1533-position model. The record is from RNAcentral.